Calypte anna (Anna's hummingbird) is the source of this 3575-nucleotide RNA transcript. It is a transcript of the gene named RWD domain containing 2A, with no coding region annotated. The record is from RefSeq and is a predicted model, not a curated record. The transcript is spliced from 4 exons. NCBI's taxonomy places the organism in Eukaryota, Metazoa, Chordata, Aves, Apodiformes, Trochilidae.
CCGCCCUCAGUGUACGUGUCACCGAGGGCCCGUGGCUGCUCCCUGGGCCCGGAUCGGCCAGCGGGGAGGCGGCAUGGAGGGUCGGGUCGUGCCGCCUCCACUCCGUUCCGGCUGCCCGGUGUCUGCCUCUGAGGCUGCCGAUGUCCCUGCGGCCCAGGUAUGUGGAGAGGGCAGUACCACGGCUGUCACGGUGCAAGAGUGUCUGGAGCUCCAGCUGCUGGAAGUGGAAAUGCUCCUUUCAAUGUUUCCCAAAAAAGGUGAAAUAAAUCUUGAUGAGGAUGCGGUGCCCUGCGUGCAGCGCUACCUGAGGAACACUGGUGGAGUUCUGCCCCCACAGCUCCAAUAUUCAAUUGCUGUUGAUGUAGGGGAGGCAAAGGUAAAAGUGGAACUGCAGGUCCAGCUGCCUCAUCUGUAUCCUCAUGUAGCUCCUCAGCUUUUUGCCAGAUCGAAUGCACUGCACAGACAGCAACAGCUGCAGCUCAACGCUGGGCUUGCCUCUUACAUCAGCUCUUUGGAUUCAGGUGAACUGUGUGUAUGUGAAGCUGUGCAGUGGGUGAAAGACAACAGCCUGCCUUACCUAGAAAACAGCAAGAGCUCUUCUGAAAGUGUUUCAGAAGAAACGGCAGCCAAAGAAACACUGCAUCGCAUGUGGAUCUACAGCCACCAUAUAUACAGGCAGGAACUGAGGAAAAAGAUUUUUGACUGUGCAAGGAAGUUAAAUCUGACUGGUUUCUGCUUAACAGGAAAACCCGGUGUCAUCUGUGUGGAGGGGCUCCAAAAAUACUGUGAAGAGUUCUGGCGUGAUAUUAGGUAUCCCAACUGGAAGCACAUUUCAUGCAAACAUGUUGAGAAUAUAGAAACAGAGGGAAGCAUCGAUAACAUUCGUCUGUUUCACACUUUUGAAGACCUUCAGUUUGAGGCACAUGGUGACUAUGGCCUGAGGAAUGACUAUCACAUGGAUCUUGGCCAGUUCCUGGAAUUCCUGAAACAACAUCAAAGUGGACACAUUUUUCAGCUUUUAUUUGGUGUGGAAGGCAAACUUGCAGACAAAUAAGAGACUAUGUAAGGAGUUCUAGAUUUGGACAGCAAGAGAUGACGCAAACAUUGCAAUAUUGUGCCUUAUAACUCCUGUGAAAAGGGAAGCUCCUCAGUGUAUGAGAAAAAGGGUUCAACUUGUUCAUCUUGGCUUCUGUUCUCAAGUGCCACAUACUUUUGAGAGAUGUUUACUUGCCUUCUGAAACAUUUCUCACUAUAAGCCAUGCCUCAAAAUGCUUGCAAGGUGAUGAAAAUCCCACACUUCAGUAUCCUGAAUUACACACUUCUGUCUCUUCAUCUAUGGGUGCUGCACAUUUCUGACCUCUGGUUAACUCCUAGGUACAAUUAUGGGAUAGCAAAGUAGCUGCAGCCACAGAUGAACAUUGUUCCCAAUACCAAAGGAAAUCUCACUGCUACACACAACUCAGUGCAUGCAGUGUCUUUUCCUGCUCCAUGAAGAAUCUGCUUUCACUUCGUUCCACUAAUCCAUGAAAUGCAAAGGCUUGUGUCCAACCACAGGACAAAGUUUUGCUUUUAAAUAAAGGGCAGAGGGGUUUGUGUGGGAGAAGGCCCACAUCCUCUUACAUGCUUUGAGCAGUACCUGUACAAUUAUAUAGCUAAUAAUAGCACUGGUUUUGCAGUCCUCCUAUCACCUCGUUACAGCCUGGUUAUGGUAAUAGCAAUUUUUCAGCUGUGCAGCUCAUGGCGUUUUAUAUGUACAGUGUUUGGCCAAGCACUUUGGAAAUGAACACGUGUAAGCACCACGCUGAAAUGCAGAGGACUGCAGUACUUCUGGUUGCUCAAAAUGAGGAUGUGCAUUCCUUCACGCUGUGGUAAGUAUGCAUGAUAGUAAGUUAAGUGAUAUAAUAGUAAGAUUGUCAGUUUGUAUGAUCAUAACUUUGGCCAAAAGCACAGUAAGGCAAAAACUGCUCACAGAUUCCUGUUAUGCAACGAGGGAAAAGUGCCUCUCCUCUGUGAAUUCUGGACCUGCAGCCUGCAGCUGUGGCAGUGCUGACAGGAUGGAUAAAUAAAGUUAAUUUUUGGUUUUCUAGAGAUAAUCUUUUAGCGUGAUAGCAGAAAAAAAUGUUCAAGUACAGUUUGUUUCCAGAACUGUCUAGAAAGUAUGCUACAUUUUCCUUGGAGUGAUAAUUCUGUAACAACGAACAAUUUGGGCUUUUUUUUUAGAACAUUCACAUGUGAACAUAGAUUCCAACACCAUCAUGACUCAAAAACAAUGAAAAAAUUUGCAUUCAGUCCUCUUGGGCUGUUGCCAAACGAUAAACUCUUUCCUUCAAAGUAGCAAAACAAACUAGUUUAGAAAUAGGCCUUUGCCCUGCGAUUUCAACCAGAAAGAAACAGGAAAGGCACCACUGGCAGAGGUCAGAAAGUCUGUGCAGGAGGAUGGUCAAACCAUUAGGAGUCAGAGGUAUCUGAAGGGUUUUCUAAGGACAAGCUGUGUUCAUUUUUUCUAAAGGAGGAAGCUCUGGAUAGUACAAUCCAGUUGUGCACCCUCCUAAGGAAAACCACAGGCUCAGGAAAAUUAUUUCUGAAAAUGCUAAUUAUGAAUCCAGAAUAAUGCAGGUCAUGAGCACUGUGCCUGAAUGCUUCCAGUAGGAUUUGCAGAGGGAAUAACUUUUUUAUCAAAGAAUAAGGGUCACUGUCAGAUACCACUUUCAAUGCCUGAUUAGCAGAUGAGAAAGGGUUAAAAAAAAAAAAAAGGAAGGCUAUAUCUUUAAUUGAAAUUAGUCUGUAGAUGAAUGUAUUCAGCAUACUGAAUUAUCAACAAACUUGUAAAAACUGUUUUAAAGACCACAGUGAAGAAACUGAGCUAAGUAGUUCAUUCAAACAAUAGUAAGCAAAAUAUUCAGUAAAAUGAAAGAAUAAUAAAAUAUGUUUGUUUCCCCCAUAAUGAUAGAAUCCUGUAAUAAUUAUUCAUCUAGCAGACUGUCUGUAUAAUUUGGGAGUUUGUAACAGUAAUAUUUCUAUUGCAUGAUGCAUGUUUAUAAAGACAUUUGCUUUAAAUACUACAGGAAUUAACUAAUUUAAUACACAAACAACCUACUUCUAGCCAGGUGACUGAUGUCUGUAAGAAAAUACUUAGUCAAAAAGAAGCUUGUUCAUAAUACUUUGAUGCUCUCUUUUUAUCAAGAACAGAAUCCAAGAACUUCCAUGAGCUUUAGGCCAAAUAAUUGCAUCAUAUCAGAACAGGCAUUGUCUUGGUGGGGGAAUGAAAUUUUUUGAUCAUUUGCAGGGCUUUAGGAAUGUUAAAAUAUUCUAAUUAGAUGUAAGUAAAAGGUUAAGUUGUUGUUGUUAUAAAGUUCUCAUUAUUCCACACAGGAGUGAUCAAUGAGGAGGGAAAUAGUCUAAGCCUACCACUGGUUAAAAGUUUUUUGUUUUUAAGAAAUUAUAGCUUGAGAAUUUGUGCAAAUUACACCGUGACCUGUGAUGGAUUAAACAGUCAUCACAUGCAUCUCUUAAUUUUCCAUGGUGCUGUUUGUCUGCUUAGGUUCCCAUUGGCAUUUGUGACAAAACACUAAAUU